CUUCUCUCUCCCGCCUAACCCUUCCCAAACCUGCAAAUGCCAGAAGUCUUCUAAGAAACAAGGCACUUCCUACUGAUGUGACUGGCCUCAGGGGAGCUUGAUCGACUCUGUAUCUUCCAUUUGACCCAGAGUCACUCUGGGGGAGCCUUAAUAUGCUUUAAAGAACACAUUCUUAUAAAGCUAGUAUUCAUGUAUUAGUUGCAUAACUUUUUAAAACCACAAUGUGUAAAAGUGUGUCCGGUCCACGCUUUCCUAACUUGCCGGCUGCCUAGCUGAAGUACCCAUGCAUAGGGUUCGUGUCCCUGUGCAACGCACAUGCAGGGUUAAGNCCACAAUGUGUAAAAGUGUGUCCGGUCCACGCUUUCCUAACUUGCCGGCUGCCUAGCUGAAGUACCCAUGCAAUAGGGUUCGUGUCCCUGUGCAACGCACAUGCAGGGUUAAGUGUUGAUGGUCUGAAACUGCAGUGCACUCAGGGGCCACCUGCCAGCACCCAUGGCUGAUCUGGCCAAGCCGGUCAGCACCUCUGUCCUUCCUUCAUAUAGCCAUAUAUCCUGACCCAGAAGACGUCUGCCAUUCUGAGGACAACCUUCUCAGUGUAAGAUACCCUUCCUUGAUCAGGGGCAUAGGAAAUGCUCCACUUCCCUGCUAGGACCCUCAGGGGAGUCUGUCAUUUAGAAAGCUAAGGAGCCAUUCCUAGCUCCAUAGCAUAAACAGUUUCUGGUUAUGACUACCCCCUACUGUGGUAACAUGGGUGUCUGACCUUUUAAGAAAAACUCUGAGACUAGACAUUCAAGUUGUGACCAGAUUAAAACCCCAAGGGCUUGAUUAUCCUCUUACUAUGUAUCUUCUUUUAUCUAUCCAUCNAUCCAUCCAUCCAUCCCCAUCUAUCUAUAUAUAUCUUCUCCUUUCUCUUCAUUCCAUCAUAAAGUAACAAGGAUAUAGUCCUGAGGGGCUUCCCAUAUCAAUAAAGAUGAUAAUGUAAACUACAUUAACUAUAUUGUACAUAUACCCUUUGAGUUUGACAAAA
RNAcentral lists this long non-coding RNA (1027 nucleotides) under Ailuropoda melanoleuca (giant panda). Its description in RNAcentral is "lncRNA (ENSAMEG00000024056.1)". Lineage: Eukaryota; Metazoa; Chordata; Mammalia; Carnivora; Ursidae. The record is from RNAcentral.